RNAcentral lists this transfer RNA (88 nucleotides) under Caldisericota bacterium. Its description in RNAcentral is "Caldiserica bacterium tRNA-Leu". It matches the Rfam family "tRNA". From Rfam's summary of the family: Transfer RNA (tRNA) molecules are approximately 80 nucleotides in length. Their secondary structure includes four short double-helical elements and three loops (D, anti-codon, and T loops). Further hydrogen bonds mediate the characteristic L-shaped molecular structure. tRNAs have two regions of fundamental functional importance: the anti-codon, which is responsible for specific mRNA codon recognition, and the 3' end, to which the tRNAs corresponding amino acid is attached (by aminoacyl-tRNA synthetases). tRNAs cope with the degeneracy of the genetic code in two manners: having more than one tRNA (with a specific anti-codon) for a particular amino acid; and 'wobble' base-pairing, i.e. permitting non-standard base-pairing at the 3rd anti-codon position. The record is from RNAcentral. Lineage: Bacteria; Pseudomonadati; Caldisericota.
GCCGAAGUGGCGGAACUGGCAGACGCGGCAGACUCAAAAUCUGCUGGGGGUAUCCCCCAUGAGGGUUCGACUCCCUCCUUCGGCACCA